This is a non-coding RNA of Pelobates cultripes (western spadefoot toad), 257 nucleotides long. Lineage: Eukaryota; Metazoa; Chordata; Amphibia; Anura; Pelobatidae. The record is from the annotation of a GenBank genome assembly.
AUUUUAUGUAUCUUUUAGUCUCACACUAGGGGAUAUAUAUUGGAUUUCCCCUAUAGUUUAUAUUGUCAAACGAGACAUAUAGCCUCCCAGAGAGUCUGUACAGCAGGGUCGGCUACAUAGCUCUAUACCCGUUUGUGCUUCUUCGUGAAUUUAUUUUCCACCAGUGAGCUAUCUUGGUAUACUCUAUUGAGACACUAUUUAUAAUGACCACAGUUUAACUCCAGUACCAUAUCGGCAUUUCUACUAUCGCUAGGUAC